AUCUGAAGUAAGAAGUUCCGUGGAUCAUCAGAAAAUGCAUAUCUCCGUUCUUGUGAAGGAUUUCAGCUUCAGACCAAACUCGAAGUUAACGCCACGAAUGGCCGGAAGCGAAGGGAGUCGCAGGAAAAUGACUUUCUGAAAGCGGGAAAUCGGACAAAAAUCAUAUUUCUUGUUGGUAUUUUGGUAUAUCAUCCAAUUUUGUGCAUAAAUGUAUGGUAAUUAUACGUUGAUACAUUUUAGUCAGACUACAGUAUUUCACAUGUUUGCACAUUACAUACAAAAAAUGAAUACCCUUUGUUAGAAA
Drosophila pseudoobscura is the source of this 304-nucleotide long non-coding RNA. RefSeq lists it as uncharacterized. The record is from RefSeq and is a predicted model, not a curated record. Lineage: Eukaryota; Metazoa; Arthropoda; Insecta; Diptera; Drosophilidae. The transcript has 3 exons.